UAACUGUGGUAAUUCUAGAGCUAAUACAUGCCGACGGGCGCUGACCCCCUUCGCGGGGGGGAUGCGUGCAUUUAUCAGAUCAAAACCAACCCGGUCAGCCCCUCUCCGGCCCCGGCCGGGGGGCGGGCGCCGGCGGCUUUGGUGACUCUAGAUAACCUCGGGCCGAUCGCACGCCCCCCGUGGCGGCGACGACCCAUUCGAACGUCUGCCCUAUCAACUUUCGAUGGUAGUCGCCGUGCCUACCAUGGUGACCACGGGUGACGGGGAAUCAGGGUUCGAUUCCGGAGAGGGAGCCUGAGAAACGGCUACCACAUCCAAGGAAGGCAGCAGGCGCGCAAAUUACCCACUCCCGACCCGGGGAGGUAGUGACGAAAAAUAACGAUACGGGACUCUUUCGAGGCCCUGUGAUUGGAAUGAGUCCGCUUUAAAUCCUUUAACGAGGGUCCGUUGGGAGGGCGGAGUCUGGU
This 467-nucleotide ribosomal RNA is filed under the name uncultured eukaryote. RNAcentral describes it as "SSU rRNA". It matches the Rfam family "Eukaryotic small subunit ribosomal RNA", at positions 144 to 565 of the family's 1831-position model. The record is from RNAcentral.